RNAcentral lists this ribosomal RNA (411 nucleotides) under Paurocephala sauteri. RNAcentral describes it as "partial large subunit ribosomal RNA". The stretch from base 82 to 399 matches the Rfam family "Bacterial large subunit ribosomal RNA", at positions 2079 to 2642 of the family's 2925-position model. The record is from RNAcentral. Lineage: Eukaryota; Metazoa; Arthropoda; Insecta; Hemiptera; Liviidae.
GGUUUGACGUAAAUUUAACUUUUUUAAAAUUAAUUUUUUUGAAUUUAGUUUUUAAGUUAAAAAACUUAAAGUUUUAAAAGUGACGAUAAGACCCUAUAGAAUUUAAAAAAUUUAAUGGUAAAAAGAAAGUUUUUUUGUUGGGGUGACAUAAAAUAAUAACUUUUUAUAAUUAAAUCUUUUUAUUAGUUUUUAAGAUCUUAAAGUUUAGAUAGAAAGAAUAAAUUACCUUAGGGAUAACAGCAUAAUUUUUUUUUUAAGAUCUAAUUUAUAAAAAAGAUUAUGACCUCGAUGUUGAAUUAAGAUAAUAUUUUGGUGCAAAAUUUAAAAUAUUUAGUCUGUUCGACUUAAAAUUUUACAUGAUUUGAGUUCAAACCGGUGUGAGCCAGGUUGGUUUCUAUCUUUUUUAAAUUA